AUCACUUCUCAGGCUUUUGGCUAAGAUCAAGUGCAGUGUCUGUUCUUAGUUUAACAUUUGGUAUGUCCUUUAUCUGAGGACAACAUAUUAAAUGGAUUUUUGGAACUAUGAGUUGGAAUAGGAGCUUGCUCUGUCCAUUCUUAUCAACCUGUAUUGCAGUACUUAAGGAAUAGUACACCCCUU
Small nuclear RNA from Ochotona curzoniae (black-lipped pika), 183 nucleotides. RefSeq annotates it as U2 spliceosomal RNA. The transcript has a single exon. The record is from RefSeq and is a predicted model, not a curated record. NCBI's taxonomy places the organism in Eukaryota, Metazoa, Chordata, Mammalia, Lagomorpha, Ochotonidae.